Molecule: non-coding RNA, 1717 nt
Organism: Physcomitrium patens
Lineage: Eukaryota; Viridiplantae; Streptophyta; Bryopsida; Funariales; Funariaceae
Source: RefSeq, a predicted model, not a curated record
CAGCAAUGGACGAAAGGUUCCGGUCGACUACUUUCUUAACGAUCCAGACUCAAUCACGGAAACCAUUGGAUCGUGAAGAUACAACGCAAGUGUAGUGAAUGUAUUGGAAAGUGAGUCCACGUCCAUGUGUCUGUCUAUGGCCAGCUGCUGCAGCCCCGUGUGCAAUGGCAGAAGCUUACCAGCGGACUGCGCAAGAAGACCGAUUCCAGGUAUUGGUGGGGCCCUAGCGACACAAACACGCAGACAAGCAGUUGGGGUCAGCAGUUUCUCAUCAAUUUUAUCCGCGAGCAGGGUUGUUGAGGGAGACGGAAAGUUUAGAAGAUUCUCAUGUCAACCUAGUUUCAGCAGCAAUCAAGGAGACUAUUGUUUGCAGAGGAGGGCACUUCGAGGGGUCUGGAGAAGGGAUUUUACUCGUGGUUGUGAUGUUAGAGGUGGUGGUAUUCAGGUAGUAAGUUUGGAGCGAGAGCGAGCGAUCAGGUGUUGUAGCGAAAACAAAGACGCCAUGGCCAGUAGUAGGAAACUACCACACCUGCAAGGCAUUCUGUUCAAGUAUGGCAGCAAAUCUAACCAGGUAGCAUUCAAAACAGGAAACUAUAAGCAGCAGGUUGUCUUCAUUGGGGGACUUACGGAUGGGUUCCUUGCAACAGAUUAUGUCGAGCCACUUGCAAAAGCGCUGGAAGCCGAAAAAUGGUCAUUGGUGCAGCCACUUUUGACGUCUUCUUACACGGGGUUUGGGACCUCAAGUCUGAAGGAGGACGCAGUAGAGAUUGAACUGCUUCUCAACUACUUAAUCGACCAGGAAGAUUCCGAAGGGUUCAUUCUUGUUGGUCAUAGCACUGGUUGCCAGGAUAUUGUUCAUUACUUGCGGACUGGAGGGCAUUGCACACGCGCAGUGAGGGGCGCUAUUUUGCAAGCACCAGUCAGUGACAGAGAAUUCCGAGCUACGUUACCCGAGACGCAGCCCAUGCUUGAACUGGCUGAGCGAAUGAUCAAGGAAGGUAAAGGCGAAGAAUUGAUGCCCCGAGAUGCCAGUCCAGAAGCACCAAUUACAGCUAAUAGGUUCCGAUCACUAUGUGCGUACAUGGGCGAUGAUGAUCUGUUCAGUUCAGACUUCACUGAUGCGCAGCUGAAGGCGCUAUUGGGGCACAUGUCACGGGUACCUUGUCAGGUACGGUCAGCAUUUUCACAGCUGUGGUUAAGUGUGGAACUCUCCGAUUGAAGGUAAUAUUCUCUAUGUCAGACGAGUAUGUGCCGGACUACGUUGACAAAGCCAAGUUACUCAAGCGGCUUUGUGAUGCUAUGGGAGGAGCGGAGAGGGCGGCUAUUCCAUGGGGCAAUCAUAGUUUAUCAAACCGCGUUGAGGAAACUGUGCGAACGAUGAUAUCUUUCAUCAAGAAAGGUGGACCCAAAGGUUGGGAUGAUCCUUGGGGUUGAGCCAAGUAUGAGCGCAAAUGCCUUCCCAAACCAUGUAGUUCAUGAUCCAAUGCAGCCAGUGUAAAUUUUAAACCUUACAACAUUGACUCACGUGUAUUUGUUGUGAAGAUAUUAAGACCAAGAUCUUCAAGGCUAAUAAACCUAUCCCGUAAUAUGCCAUCGGGUUUCCGCAUUCGCAUUUAAAUGUCAAAUUUGAUUUGUGAGUCUUGUACCUGGAGAAACUUGUUGAGUCAACAGAAUGCUAUGCUUAGAUCCCAAGAAAUAUACAAGGUGAUUUGUUCAA